This 67-nucleotide transfer RNA is filed under the name Acmaeodera sp. RUGACM01. RNAcentral describes it as "tRNA-Ser". Lineage: Eukaryota; Metazoa; Arthropoda; Insecta; Coleoptera; Buprestidae. The record is from RNAcentral.
GAAAUAGGAAAAUCAAGAAAAAGCUUCUAACUUUUAUCUUUAGCAGUGAAAAUCUGUUAAUAUUUCU